AUAUACGAUUUGAUCAUGGCUUUUAGAUUCGGCUUCAUUUGGUCGUCGUUUACUCGCUUCACCCGUUUGGUUCUCUAACAAACUUGUUUUGCUAUCGUGUUUCUUUCAAGGCAGUUUUAAAUUAACGUAAAACUUCAUCGUGUUUUACUUGGACGCGUCUAUUUUGUCUAUUGAUUUGAAACACCCUUUUGAUUGUGUGAUUAUUCUUUAGAAACAGAAAGUUAUUUAGUUGAAUUUGACAUGGAUCAUCACAUGCCGCCCGGCUACGGCCAGGAGAAUUACAUGUAUGGAGAUCCUUCAAGGUCCUUCCAGGGUAAUGCUGUCGGUAUGUAUGGAUCAGGUGCUAGACCGAUGUCACCUCCUCCAGGUGAUGAAGACAUUCCCGCCCAUGAACAUCUCCCAUCAGCACUUGAAGAAGUCCUUGCUUACAAAGAAUACCGAGUACGAGAAACGGGCCACUCUGGAGAGGUUGAUAACAUUAUUAAUGAAAUCCCUGUCAAAACAGUUAUAGAAACUGAAGGAACUAUUGAAGAGAGGAAAGAUGAUUUCGGUGGGGAAGAAAACCUUGAAGAAAAAACUAAAACUCAAAGAAAUCAAAAGAAGAAAAAGAAGAAGAAGCGCACUAAGAGACAUCAACAGAAAGAAGAAGAAGAAGAAAAUGAAAGGAAUGAUGAUGCUGAAGAACCUCCACAAGUGGAUAUUGAGUAUGUCCAGGAAGAAAUCAUUUAUGACGACAAAAAUCCUUUCUACCGACAGUUUGCCAAAAUCUUCGAAGCAUUUAAAAUCAUUGAUGAAAAAACUGCAAAGAAAGCUGAAGAAGAUGAAGCCAAAAAGAAAGAACUUCAAAGAAGUUUAGAACUUAAGAAGGUCCCCAAGUUUGCAGAAGAGGAAGAUUUGGAGGAGAAAAAGGAAAAUGCUGAUGAUGACAAGCCAAAAGUUUCAAAAAGAAAACUAAAACAACUUACUCGACUAAGUGUGGCCGAUUUGAAGCAAUGUGUUGCCAGACCAGACGUCGUAGAGAUGCACGACGUUACUGCUAGAGACCCCAAACUGUUAGUUCUUUUGAAAGCAACCAGAAAUUCGGUCCCAGUUCCUCGACAUUGGUGUGCGAAGCGCAAGUACUUACAGGGAAAACGUGGAAUAGAAAAGCCUCCUUUCAAUUUGCCCGAUUUCAUCAAAAAGACCGGAAUCAUGGAAAUGCGAGCUGCUUUGCAGGAAAAGGAAGAGUCAAAAACACUUAAAGCUAAAAUGCGUGAGCGUGUUCGACCCAAGAUGGGGCGUGUUGAUAUCGACUAUCAAAAGUUGCAUGACGCUUUCUUCAAAUGGCAAACCAAACCCAAGAUGACGAUUAUGGGUGAUUUAUACUAUGAAGGAAAAGAAUUUGAAACUCGAAUGAAAGACAAAAAACCCGGAGAGUUGUCUGACGAACUGCGAACUGCUCUCGGAAUGCCUGUUGGUCCUAGUUCAAACAAAAUUCCUCCUCCUUGGUUGAUUGCCAUGCAAAGAUAUGGUCCACCACCGUCUUACCCUAACUUGAAGAUUCCAGGAUUGAACGCUCCAAUUCCUGAUGGUUCUUCCUUUGGCUACCAUGCCGGAGGUUGGGGAAAACCUCCUGUCGAUGAAUUCGGGCGGCCUCUGUACGGCGAUGUUUUUGGAUUGACUGGAAUCGCAGGCGAUACAAUUUUACUCGACGAAGAAGUUGAUCGUACCUUGUGGGGUGAACUUGAAUCGGAAGAAGAGGAGGAGGAAGUUGAGGAGAGUGAAGAGGAAGAAGGAGAGGACGAAGAAGGCGCCAUUGAUCAAUCAGGUCUGGUUACUCCUGCAGAAGGACUUGCUACUCCUUCGGGAUUCUCAUCUGUACCUGCUGGUCUGGAAACACCAGAUAUGAUUGAGCUACGAAAGAAAAAGAUUGAAGCAGAGAUGGAGAGUAACGAAACGCCUCAGCUGUAUACCGUCCUUCCAGAAAAGCGAACGGACAGAAUCGGUCAAGCGAUGAUGGGAUCUACCCAUGUAUAUGAUAUCGCUUCAGCUACGACCACUCAGAAGAGUAGUGGUGGUGUGGAACUUAGUUUGGAUCCCUCCGAGUUGGAAGGUUUGGACUCUGAAUCAAUGGCCGCUCGUUAUGAACAAACAUUGCGGGAGCAACAAGGCAACUUGGCUAAGGAAGAUUUCAGUGACAUGGUGGCUGAACAUGCCGCCAAGCAGAAGAGCAAGAGAAAGAGACAACAACAACAGACGGACACUAAACAGGCCAAGAAAUACAAAGAGUUCAAAUUUUAACAUCCCUUUUGAAGCAUUAAAAAUCUUAUACCGCCACAUAUCUCCUCCACACACAAAAGAAGAAAUUCCGAAUCGUCAAGAAUUGCAGCAGUCAUCGUGCUUUUGGAAGGUAAAAAAACGAAACACAUGCUGAUGGAAAGUCGUAUAAAAUAUUAUUAGCCAGUA
Molecule: unclassified non-coding RNA, 2445 nt
Filed under: Daphnia pulex (common water flea)
Lineage: Eukaryota; Metazoa; Arthropoda; Branchiopoda; Diplostraca; Daphniidae
Description: splicing factor 3B subunit 2-like, transcript variant X1
Source: RNAcentral